GUGUACAUCUUCACGCCGCCGUUUCAUAUCUUACACAGACAGCCGUGGGGAUUGCGUCGUAUUUCACGGGAGGACUGCUAUCGAGGGCAAGCGCCACUCACUAGAGCCGUACAUGAUUUUGUCAAAAGGGCUUGUCUUUUCAUCACAGCCAGGCAUGCUUUUAAGGCUGUACAUUUUCCACAGAGUGUGAUACACUGGCACUGUAUCCUUUGUGGCACCACUUCUGUCAAUUGAACCCCCAUGACACAUUUGACUGUGCCGUCGUCACAGAUAAGCUAUGAUGAUCUGUAAAAAGAAAAAUUGGUAACACUUUGGAUCCAAGUGCUUAGUAGUAGUUCAUAGGUACUAAGGUCUUAUCAAGUUGGACCUGGGCCGGGAGCCACAUCUUAUCACCUUACCAGAUUUACAGCACUCAUUAUUCAUGACAUAAUCCUGCUGCAGAUUUCAGCCCUGAUGACAGAUUGACUCCUUAGGCACACCAUGCUAUGACAUGCGAUAAGGAGCUUUGGUAUGCAAAAAACUAUUUAUACAGAUUUUGUGUGUGUGUGACAGAAUACAGUAAAACUGAAACUGCUUUCUUAGAAGUUGUUGGCCUUCCUGACAUUCUCUAAUAGAGAGUGACAAGCAGUGGUGUUGCUUUUUACAAAGUAAAGGCUAUUUUCCUGAUUUGGGUCACUAGGAGGAGAAAUGCAUUUGAGGAGCUUUGAAUGAAAUCCUAUUUGCCACGCAAGCUGCCUCUGAAAGCAAGCCAGCUCAAGGACACUGGAUGAGGGAUGUCAUUACACUAGCAUGGUGAAUCUGAUUGGUCACAGCUCAUGUGUGGCAAAACGACCCCAACGUUCUCCACAGGCUUUACCCGGUUGAAAUGAGAUCAAUCCAUUCGCCUGUAUGCCCUUUGAGUGCAUAUCUGGCAGUCUUCUAAUAAUGGUUGAAAUGACGCUGUCAAUUAAGUUUUAUCAAAGCAACAUUUGGCUUUUGUAACAGGCAUGAGCAUUUUGUUGCAUGUUAUGUUUUUGAAAUGCCAGCCUACAAUAACGCUCGAGUCUGUUUCUGUAGUUUGUUAUAUGACGUGCAAUGUCUGCCUACCUACCUUUUGACAACCACAUAGUUAACGCGUCAGAGCGAGGUGGCUUACUGCUCUGG
This is a long non-coding RNA of Hypomesus transpacificus, 1143 nucleotides long. RefSeq lists it as uncharacterized. The record is from RefSeq and is a predicted model, not a curated record. Lineage: Eukaryota; Metazoa; Chordata; Actinopteri; Osmeriformes; Osmeridae. The transcript has 3 exons.